UUUUAAAAUCCCUACAUUUUUCUUGAGUUAGUGUAAAUAGUCCCUGUUGUCAAAUUUCUAACGUGAUGCCAAUGUUGGCGGUUCAAUCUCGCCGGAAAACGGCGGAGAACUUCACCACGAACUUUCUCCGCAGCUUCGUAGAUGCGGAUCGCCGGUGUUCGUCACACUUCCGGUGAAAUAUGUUGGUUUAGAGGGGAAGAUUUGAAGGCCGAAAGCGAUGAUGUUAUCGUUGAAAGCGCUUGUUGUUGCGGGUGUGGAAGGUGUUGUGGUGGAGAUUUGGUGGGGUGGGGUUGAACUUGUUAUGAUGGCCUGUGUUUCAUCAACAUGACACUGAUGGCAGGGACCAAUUGCACUAACGGAGAAAAAAUGUAGGGAUUUUAAAAACAUUCAUUGAAAUGUAGGGACUAUUUUCAAAAUCGCGCAAAAUGUAGGGACCAAAAACAUAUUUAACCCUU
RNAcentral lists this long non-coding RNA (455 nucleotides) under Medicago truncatula (barrel medic). RNAcentral describes it as "long non-coding RNA (MTRU_LNC003476)". Lineage: Eukaryota; Viridiplantae; Streptophyta; Magnoliopsida; Fabales; Fabaceae. The record is from RNAcentral.